GGACUGGACAGGUAGGCAGAGAGCACAUGAGGCUCAGACUGAAAGAAGCCGGUGGAAGGUGGGAAGCAGGAAAGACAUAAUCCCACGGAGGACAAUGUGGCUAACAGACGGGGGAGGAGGGCUGGCAUGCGGAGCGGAGCCUGGCGGCAGAGAGACACCGAGUUUCCACAGGACAAGAGGACGCGUACUAGGGAUGUCUCCUGAGGACAGCUCCCUUGCAACAGUGCGGCUGGAGGCCAGGCCACCGUGGGCUGCAGAGUGGACAAGCAGUCAGGGGAGAAGCCUCAGAAGUAAAUACUCUUUCCAAAGUGUGGCUAAGAAUUCUGGAAACGAGCAGGAAGGAAGUAACUGUGAAUACUAUUUCCUUCAAAAAGGCCAACGUGGAGCGCCUGGGUGGCUCAAUGGGUUAAAGCCUCUGCCUUCAGCCCAGGUCAUGAUCCCAGGGUCCUGGGAUCAAGCCCCACAUCGGGCUCUCUGCUCUGUGGAGAGCCUGCUUCCUCCUCUCUCUCUGCCUGCCUCUCUGCCUACUUGUGAUCUC
Molecule: long non-coding RNA, 538 nt
Organism: Mustela lutreola (European mink)
Lineage: Eukaryota; Metazoa; Chordata; Mammalia; Carnivora; Mustelidae
Exons: 3
Source: RefSeq, a predicted model, not a curated record